UGUUUGCUCUGAAUCAGCUUCUACACCCAAUCAUUCAUAGGUUGAUAAUCCUCAUUGCUUCGGUCCUACAGGAAAAAUUCAGUACCAGGCUAAAUACUCUAUUUUUCAAGAAAGAAUCAAACAAAUUGGAAAGCAUUCUCUCUUGUAGAAUUCAAUUUCAUUUCACGAUAGGAAGGAGGUUACAUCCAUACCAUUCGGCACCACCAAGACAAGCCCUCUCUGCGGAGAACAUCAGAGAGCUGCUUUUAUACAUCAACCUGUCAAAGGAAAGGAUUCAGGAAAGAGGAAAUAAAGCCACUUGAUUCAUUCAAUUCAUUCAUGGUAAGAAAAGAAAGAAAAUCUUCUUUUUGAGUAACAGCAAUUAAAUACCUCCUCCUCGCUGCCACUGAUGCCAGCAGUUAAAUUGGCAUGUUCAUGCGAAAAAAUAGCACAAGCCUGAUAAUUCCACCAUCAGUUCUGGUGUCAAAAAUACUUUGCAGCUACGACUAAAGUCUUCUUCUUGAUGGGUAUCAAAUGAGUCCUUUUUUAUUUCAC
RNAcentral lists this long non-coding RNA (534 nucleotides) under Triticum aestivum (bread wheat). RNAcentral describes it as "long non-coding RNA (TAES_LNC009462)". The record is from RNAcentral. Lineage: Eukaryota; Viridiplantae; Streptophyta; Magnoliopsida; Poales; Poaceae.